GACGAACGCUGGCGGCGUGCUUAACACAUGCAAGUCGUACGGUAAGGCCCUUUCGGGGGUACACGAGUGGCGAACGGGUGAGUAACACGUGAGUAACCUGCCCACAACUUUGGGAUAACGCUAGGAAACUGGUGCUAAUACUGGAUAUGUGCUCCUGCUGCAUGGUGGGGGUUGGAAAGCUCCGGCUGUUGUGGAUGGACUCGCGGCCUAUCAGCUUGUUGGUGGGGUAGUGGCCUACCAAGGCGGCGACGGGUAGCCGGCCUGAGAGGGUGACCGGCCACAUUGGGACUGAGAUACGGCCCAGACUCCUACGGGAGGCAGCAGUGGGGAAUAUUGCACAAUGGGCGCAAGCCUGAUGCAGCAACGCCGCGUGCGGGAUGACGGCCUUCGGGUUGUAAACCGCUUUCAGCAGGGACGAAGCUUUUUGUGACGGUACCUGCAGAAGAAGCACCGGCUAACUACGUG
Molecule: ribosomal RNA, 465 nt
Filed under: uncultured bacterium
Lineage: Bacteria
Description: partial 16S ribosomal RNA
Rfam family: Bacterial small subunit ribosomal RNA
Source: RNAcentral